RNAcentral lists this long non-coding RNA (205 nucleotides) under Homo sapiens (human). RNAcentral describes it as "non-protein coding lnc-DUSP5-1:1". The record is from RNAcentral. Lineage: Eukaryota; Metazoa; Chordata; Mammalia; Primates; Hominidae.
CCGCCUGAGCACCAUCCAAAUUGGAGUCAAAGCACAGAAAGGAAGUGCUGCCUGGGGAGGCCGAAGCUGGGGGAUAAAAUCCUACUCCUAUGCUCCAGGGAUAGCCGGUGGCUACUCAAGGGAGAGGGAAGACCCGCAUCUCUUUCCUUUCAGGUGUUUGCACUCUUCUAUCUCUUGCUUUCUCUAAUGCUGUCCAGGACACUUA